CGGCAAUGGCGGCAGCUACACAUGCAGUCGGGCGGUAACAGGGGGAAGCUUGCUUCUCUGCUGACGAGCGGCGGACGGGUGAGUAAUGUAUGGGGAUCUGCCUGAUGGCGGGGGAUAACUACUGGAAACGGUAGCUAAUACCGCAUAAUGUCUUCGGACCAAAGCGGGGGACCUCCGGGCCUCGCGCCAUCAGAUGAACCCAUAUGGGAUUAGCUAGUAGGUGAGGUAACGGCUUACCUAGGCGACGAUCCCUAGCUGGUCUGAGAGGAUGAUCAGCCACACUGGGACUGAGACACGGCCCAGACUCCUACGGGAGGCAGCAGUGGGGAAUAUUGCACAAUGGGCGCAAGCCUGAUGCAGCCAUGCCGCGUGUAUGAAGAAGGCCUUCGGGUUGUAAAGUACUUUCAGUCGGGAGGAAGGUGUCAAGGUUAAUAACCUUGGCAAUUGACGUUACCGACAGAAGAAGCACCGGCUAACUCUGUGCAGCAGCCGCAA
RNAcentral lists this ribosomal RNA (495 nucleotides) under Morganella morganii. Its description in RNAcentral is "bacterial SSU rRNA". It matches the Rfam family "Bacterial small subunit ribosomal RNA", at positions 37 to 520 of the family's 1533-position model. Lineage: Bacteria; Pseudomonadati; Pseudomonadota; Gammaproteobacteria; Enterobacterales; Morganellaceae. The record is from RNAcentral.